GCUCCCUCAAAAGGGUAGAGUAGAAAAAGGUUCACCUGUGACCAAAUCAUUCAGGGACAGCUGUGCAUCAUCACCUCGUUAAGCACUGAUAGGUCAGCUGGGGGCUGGCAACAUUUAAAAACCCUCCACAUAGAUUUGGUCUGCAGUGGAGUCGUCCCAUUGUAAUUAUGACAGCAAUCCUCUUUACAUGGUAAGCAAGUGGUCAUUUUUUCGCGUGUUAUUUCAAAAUUUCUUAGGGGAGUUCUUUGCUUCAAUAUUGGCUGUCUCUUAUCUGUUUUAGGGUCUUCCUCCAAGCUAUCCUGCUUUGGGAUAUCGAAUGUAGCCCUAUUAAAAAAGGGUUUGCCCCACAAUAUAAAGGCGGGUAUUCUCAAGAUCCGUGGGGUGCCCAACCCAAAGAGCAGCUGUACCCCAGCCAUGAAACCUCUGGCUCCAUGUCUGGACCCGGUGCACAGGGUUUGUCCUCGGGGGCGCUGCCUUCUCCUCCCCCUACAGGAUUCAACGGAGGCUAUUCUUCCCCAAAGGGCUCAUCUCAAGGCUCCUGGGCAAUUCCUCCACGCACGUUCUCUGGUGGGUCAAGAGCCGCUUCUGACGGUCACGCUGGCCCCAAGGGACAAAUGGCCGGCCCCAGCAGUGCGCCCCCACCUGGACCAGAGUUCAUCCCAGGAGAGCUGCUCAACAUCGAGAGCACAAUGGAGGACGGACACUAUGAGUCUGAGACCCAGGAACGCGGUGUACCCCCACCGCCAUCGUAUGAAGCUGCUGUAGGUCAGGCUGAGGCCUUCCCCAGCCCUGCAGCCCUUAUGCCCCAGGCUUCAUUAGGGUAUUUCUACCCUUACGAUGCGAUGUUCAUCACUGGCCAGUAUCCUCCGGGAACCUACACCCAGUCUAGCAGUAGUGUUGAGCGUGGCAGAGAUGACUGGCAGGAAAACCGUUACAUCCGAUAUGACUACCCUGCCAAGAACCAGGAACAGCAGAUGCAGAGUUACUCACAAUACUCGGAUCAGAGCUACCAGCCGGCUGAGCCAGAAGGACCUGGAAAAGGCCAGGAUGUGGAGCAGCAGUUCCAGGCCUAUGAAGGUCAAUGGGUAGGCUGAGACCACCAGAUGUGGAGCCUGGCUGGGACAAUGGGAUUCCAUGUAGGGUUCAAGAACUUCUUUCUCCGUAGAUGCAAUGUCUUUCUGGUGGUGGAAACUUCAUGCAUUUGAUUUGAUGGUCAAUAAAGUUACAAAUUCUACAUCAGAAGGCCCCUUUUUUUCAUAUAUUUGUGCUGCGAACUACAAGCUUAUGCCUCGCUAUAUGCACAUUUUAUGCGUCUGAAAUAAUAAUUUUGGCUGGGGGCUUCGAAUUAUAAUAUUGGUGGCUAAUAUUGGAGUCGUCUUCCCUAUAAAAUGCCUCCAUUGGUGAUUCUGUCUACCUGGGACUUGCAGCGUGAAAUGUCUGAACUAGCAUUAAAGAGGCUGCAGUAGCG
This 1468-nucleotide long non-coding RNA is filed under the name Gadus morhua (Atlantic cod). RNAcentral describes it as "lncRNA (ENSGMOG00000030036.1)". The record is from RNAcentral. Lineage: Eukaryota; Metazoa; Chordata; Actinopteri; Gadiformes; Gadidae.